GAUGAAGAACGCAGCGAAAUGCGAUAAGUAAUGCGAAUUGCAGAAUUCAGUGAGUCAUCGAAUCUUUGAACGCACAUUGCGCCCUGUGGUAUUCCGCAGGGCAUGCCUGUUCGAGCGUCAUUUCAACCCUCAAGCUCUGCUUGGUGUUGGGCCCUGCCCGCUGCAGCCGGCCCUAAAGACAGUGGCGGUGCCGCCUGGCCCUGAGCGUAGUACAUCUCUCGCUCCAGUGCCCGGUGGUAGCCUGCCAGAACCCCAACUCUCGUGGUUGACCUCGGAUCAGGUAGGGAUACCCGCUGAACUUAAGCAUAUCAAUAAGCGGAGGA
RNAcentral lists this unclassified non-coding RNA (323 nucleotides) under soil metagenome. RNAcentral describes it as "partial contains 5.8S ribosomal RNA, internal transcribed spacer 2, and large subunit ribosomal RNA". The stretch from base 1 to 120 matches the Rfam family "5.8S ribosomal RNA", at positions 35 to 154 of the family's 154-position model. The record is from RNAcentral.